RNAcentral lists this ribosomal RNA (401 nucleotides) under uncultured bacterium. RNAcentral's name for it is "partial 16S ribosomal RNA". It matches the Rfam family "Bacterial small subunit ribosomal RNA", at positions 338 to 736 of the family's 1533-position model. The record is from RNAcentral.
CCUACGGGUGGCUGCAGUGAGGAAUAUUGGUCAAUGGACGAGAGUCUGAACCAGCCAAGUAGCGUGAAGGAUGACUGCCCUAUGGGUUGUAAACUUCUUUUAUAUGGGAAUAAAAUGUUCCACGUGUGGGAUUUUGUAUGUACCAUAUGAAUAAGGAUCGGCUAACUCCGUGCCAGCAGCCGCGGUAAUACGGAGGAUCCGAGCGUUAUCCGGAUUUAUUGGGUUUAAAGGGAGCGUAGGUGGAUUGUUAAGUCAGUUGUGAAAGUUUGCGGCUCAACCGUAAAAUUGCAGUUGAAACUGGCAGGAUAGAGUAAAGUAGAGGUGGGGGGAAUUCGUGGUGUAGCGGUGAAAUGCGUAGAGAGCACGAAGAACGGCGAUUGAGAAGGCAGUUCACUGGACUG